AUACGGGCUAGGGGGUGUGCUGACGUGCGCUGUAUCACAAAUCGUCAAUAUGGUGACCUGAAGUCUGAGGGCGGCGGAGACGAUUUGCGCAUGUGUCAUUGGUUAACUACGAUGCCUCGCCCCCGAGAGAUCGAGGUUGAUGGAGGCCAAUACCGGAGGGGAUUGGUGACUGUGUUACCCGGGAAUCAGGUCAGGCGCGGAAGCGAGCAGCCCGACUGGGAACUCUGGAUGCCUCGGGACCGCGGGGCGGAGAAGAUCAGUGGAACCACUUUCGCGAAUACGACCGUCCACCGAUGACACGCCCAUAA
RNAcentral lists this signal recognition particle RNA (308 nucleotides) under Methanobacteriota archaeon. Its description in RNAcentral is "Euryarchaeota archaeon (freshwater metagenome) signal recognition particle sRNA". It matches the Rfam family "Archaeal signal recognition particle RNA". Lineage: Archaea; Methanobacteriati; Methanobacteriota. The record is from RNAcentral.